CUACGGGAUGCACCAGUGAGGAAUAUUGCACAAUGGGGGGAACCCUGAUGCAGCAACGCCGCGAGGAGGAUGACGCAUUUCGGUGUGUAAACUCCUUUUAUAUGUCAAGAAAAUGACGGUAGCAUAUGAAUAAGCACCGGCUAACUCCGUGCCAGCAGCCGCGGUAAUACGGAGGGUGCAAGCGUUACUCGGAAUCACUGGGCGUAAAGGACGCGUAGGCGGGUUGGAAAGUCAGGUGUGAAAUCCUACAGCUUAACUGUAGAACUGCACUUGAAACUUCUAAUCUAGAGUAUGGGAGGGGGAGAUGGAAUUAGUGGUGUAGGGGUAAAAUCCGUAGAUAUCACUAGGAAUACCUAAAGCGAAGGCGAUCUCCUGGAACAUUACUGACGCUAAGGCGUGAAAGCGUGGGGAGCGAACAGGAUUAGAUACCCCCGUAGUC
This 439-nucleotide ribosomal RNA is filed under the name uncultured bacterium. RNAcentral's name for it is "partial 16S ribosomal RNA". It matches the Rfam family "Bacterial small subunit ribosomal RNA", at positions 339 to 795 of the family's 1533-position model. The record is from RNAcentral.